CACCAUUUAAAGAGUGCGUAAUAGCUCACUAGUCGAGUGACUCUGCGCCGAAAAUGUACCGGGGCUAAAUACACCACCGAAGCUGCGGAUUGAUACCAAUGGUAUCAGUGGUAGGGGAGCGUUCUAAGGACAGUGAAGUCAGACCGGAAGGACUGGUGGAGUGCUUAGAAGUGAGAAUGCCGGUAUGAGUAGCGAAAGACGGGUGAGAAUCCCGUCCACCGAAUGCCUAAGGUUUCCUGAGGAAGGCUCGUCCGCUCAGGGUUAGUCAGGACCUAAGCCGAGGCCGACAGGCGUAGGCGAUGGACAACAGGUUGAUAUUCCUGUACCACCUCUUUAUCGUUUGAGCAAUGGAGGGACGCAGAAGGAUAGAAGAAGCGUGCGAUUGGUUGUGCACGUCCAAGCAGUUAGGCUGAUAAGUAGGCAAAUCCGCUUAUCGUGAAGGCUGAGCUGUGAUGGGGAAGCUCCUUAUGGAGCGAAGUCUUUGAUUCCCCGCUGCCAAGAAAAGCUUCUAGCGAGAUAAAAGGUGCCUGUACCGCAAACCGACACAGGUAGGCGAGGAGAGAAUCCUAAGGUGUGCGAGAGAACUCUGGUUAAGGAACUCGGCAAAAUGACCCCGUAACUUCGGGAGAAGGGGUGCUUUCUUAACGGAAAGCCGCAGUGAAUAGGCCCAAGCGACUGUUUAGCAAAAACACAGCUCUCUGCGAAGCCGUAAGGCGAAGUAUAGGGGGUGACACCUGCCCGGUGCUGGAAGGUUAAGGAGAGGGGUUAGCGUAAGCGAAGCUCUGAACUGAAGCCCCAGUAAACGGCGGCCGUAACUAUAACGGUCCUAAGGUAGCGAAAUUCCUUGUCGGGUAAGUUCCGACCCGCACGAAAGGUGUAACGAUUUGGGCACUGUCUCAACCAGAGACUCGGUGAAAUUAUAGUACCUGUGAAGAUGCAGGUUACCCGCGACAGGACGGAAAGACCCCGUGGAGCUUUACUGUAGCCUGAUAUUGAAUUUUGGUACAGUUUGUACAGGAUAGGCGGGAGCCUUUGAAACCGGAGCGCUAGCUUCGGUGGAGGCGCUGGUGGGAUACCGCCCUGACUGUAUUGAAAUUCUAACCUACGGGUCUUAUCGACCCGGGAGACAGUGUCAGGUGGGCAGUUUGACUGGGGCGGUCGCCUCCUAAAGUGUAACGGAGGCGCCCAAAGGUUCCCUCAGAAUGGUUGGAAAUCAUUCGUAGAGUGCAAAGGCAUAAGGGAGCUUGACUGCGAGACCUACAAGUCGAGCAGGGACGAAAGUCGGGCUUAGUGAUCCGGUGGUUCCGCAUGGAAGGGCCAUCGCUCAACGGAUAAAAGCUACCCC
This 1345-nucleotide ribosomal RNA is filed under the name Bacillus anthracis str. Kruger B. Its description in RNAcentral is "bacterial LSU rRNA". It matches the Rfam family "Bacterial large subunit ribosomal RNA", at positions 1117 to 2469 of the family's 2925-position model. The record is from RNAcentral. Lineage: Bacteria; Bacillati; Bacillota; Bacilli; Caryophanales; Bacillaceae.